CCUACGGGUGGCAGCAGUGGGGAAUAUUGGACAAUGGGGGGAAGCCUGAUCCAGCGACGCCGCGUGAGUGAAGAAGUAUUUCGGUAUGUAAAGCUCUAUCAGCAGGGAAGAAAAUGACGGUACGUGACUAAGAAGCCCCGUCUAACUACGUGCCAGCAGCCGCGGUAAUACGUAGGGAGCAAGCGUUAUCCGGAUUUACUGGGUGUAAAGGGAGCGUAGACGGUGCAGCAAGUCUGAUGUGAAAGGUCGGGGCCCAAACCCGGGACUGCAUUUGAAACUGUGGGACUGGAGUACAGGAGAGGUAAGCGGAAUGCGUGGUGUAGCGGUGAAAUGCGUAGAUAUCAGGCAGAACACCAGUGGCGAAGGCGGCUUACUGGACUGCAACUGACGUUGAGGCUCGAAAGCGUGGGGAGCAAACAGGAUUAGAUACCCGGGUAGUC
RNAcentral lists this ribosomal RNA (440 nucleotides) under uncultured bacterium. Its description in RNAcentral is "partial 16S ribosomal RNA". It matches the Rfam family "Bacterial small subunit ribosomal RNA", at positions 338 to 795 of the family's 1533-position model. The record is from RNAcentral.